AGUCGAACGAACACUUUUACAGAUUUCUUCGGAAUGAAGUUUUAGUCACUGAGUGGCGGACGGGUGAGUAACGCGUGGGUAACCUGCCUCACACAGGGGGAUAACAGUUGGAAACGGCUGCUAAUACCGCAUAAGCGCACAGUACCGCAUGGUACGGUGUGAAAAACUCCGGUGGUGUGAGAUGGACCCGCGUCUGAUUAGCUAGUUGGCAGGGCAACGGCCUACCAAGGCGACGAUCAGUAGCCGACCUGAGAGGGUGACCGGCCACAUUGGGACUGAGACACGGCCCAAACUCCUACGGGAGGCAGCAGUGGGGAAUAUUGCACAAUGGGGGAAACCCGGAUGCAGCGACGCCGCGUGAGCGAAGAAGUAUUUCGGUAUGUAAAGCUCUAUCAGCAGGGAAGAAGAAAUGACGGUACCUGACUAAGAAGCACCGGCUAAAUACGUGCCAGCAGCCGCGGUAAUACGUAUGGUGCAAGCGUUAUCCGGAUUUACUGGGUGUAAAGGGAGCGCAGGCGGAAGGCUAAGUCUGAUGUGAAAGCCCGGGGCUCAACCCCGGUACUGCAUUGGAAACUGGUCAUCUAGAGUGUCGGAGGGGUAAGUGGAAUUCCUAGUGUAGCGGUGAAAUGCGUAGAUAUUAGGAGGAACACCAGUGGCGAAGGCGGCUUACUGGACGAUAACUGACGCUGAGGCUCGAAAGCGUGGGGAGCAAACAGGAUUAGAUACCCUGGUAGUC
RNAcentral lists this ribosomal RNA (736 nucleotides) under uncultured bacterium. RNAcentral's name for it is "bacterial SSU rRNA". It matches the Rfam family "Bacterial small subunit ribosomal RNA", at positions 60 to 795 of the family's 1533-position model. The record is from RNAcentral.